RNAcentral lists this ribozyme (76 nucleotides) under unclassified sequences. RNAcentral describes it as "pistol ribozyme". It matches the Rfam family "Pistol ribozyme". The record is from RNAcentral.
AGUUGUUCCGGCAACUAUAAACAGGAUUUUAAGCCGGAAGCGUUCAGGCGGUGCAAUAGUGCCGCUUGAGGUAAUC